ACACACACACACACACACACACACACACACACACACACACACACACGAAAGCACACCGUUGUCUUUCUGCCCUUCUCCCCACAAGGCUCUUCAGGCUUCUGAAAACAGCUCCUGGCAUGAGUUUCCCCAGGAGGUCCCACACAUCUUGCAACAGACACACAGAUAGCUACCUCAACCUGGGCUCACCGACCCCCACUAACCACCCCAGUACUUUCCUCGUGUUGGCUUGGAUGGAUGUUUAUUGUGAUAAUGUCUAGUCUUCCUUAUCCUCUCAAAGCUCAAGAUAACAAGGAGACAGGAGCUCAAUGGAGUGAGACAUAAGCUGGAAACUGACCCCAUUUCAGGUGGGUAUAGGGAUUCAUGGGUUCCAGCUACCAAAUCCACCCAACCCCGCAGUUUUAUCUCUCUGAGUUUCCCUCUCAUUUGGACACUUGACCAUCCAAAUCCCAUGUCAACUUUGAGAAGGAACUCUGUCACUGUCACUCACCCUUCUGUUCACUUGGCAGGUGACCUACUAGGAGAUGCAUCGCUUAAUGAAGAAUAAGACCGAAUCCCCUCUGGGGAGUUCAGAGACCGUAGUAGAAAAUGGAAGAGUAGACAUUAGUUCAUGUGUCAGCGCCAUGAUGAUGUAUAUUGGGAAGGGCUCCCCAAAAGACUCAGUGUUCAAGAUGAAAGAGCUGAAAGGUCACUAAAGGUCACAAACCAAAGGAGUGGCGCCUGCUUCCUGGCUUGGCGGCAUUUGGGGCCAAGGAAGAAGAUGUGGAACGUGACCAGAAAGCUGCAGUCUCCUCUAAAAACCAGGGGAGAGCAAUCGAUGUUUGUACUCCAGAAGAAAAUCAACACAAGAUUUACAUCAGUGAAUUCAGAAGAAAUAACUUCCCCCAAAGUAACUAUGGAGCAUUAAUACAGCUGGAGAUGGUGUUGAAAAGAUUUCUGAAGCCAGCCAGCAGGCUUUGUUUCCGGUUUGGUUAAAUGGUUCAUUGCUCAAGCACGGUGGAAACGUGAGGGACAUGCACAUUUGACGAGCCCCCGAGUGUAGGGGGUGUGUACGUGUGUGCGUGUGUGCGAAUAUGUGACAGGCGCUGUUUCACGACACUUUAAUCUCCUGCCUCAGACGUCUACAGAGCAACGAGAUUGCUUUCAACAUAAAAUGAUACCCACGUCAAAACCCACCAUUGGGUUGAGAAACAAAGCAAAACAAAAUGUAAAGGCAGCCUGAACCAAUCUCAUGCUUGGUCACAGCUCUUUAGUCUGGAAUGAGUUUAAGACGAAGGUUGGGAACUGGAAAUAAGUGACCUAAGCGAAUGGUCUGAGGCACAGGGCUGUCAGAGGAGCACAAUUUAUUCUUUCUGCUUCAGAUCUUGGAAACUAGAUCCAAUGUUAGUAAAGAUUGCAUUUUGCCACCUACCUUGCAGACAGGGACUUCCGGAAAUCUUACCAGAGCUGUUUUAUAGGUGGAGAUGCUGAGGAACCAAGAGGUAAGAAGGCUUCUUAAAGACAUAGUUAAGAUUCUGGGAUCAUGGGGGGGGGCAAAUGGGAUGGGAAUAGGGGCUUUUAGCUCAGAGAUGUGACCUUUGUGGGAGCUCUGGGGCUUUUCCAUGCAUCUGCUUUCUGAUUUGGGGUAACAUUGGCUUCAGGGGUCAUCACUACCUGCAGGCCCAGAGGUUUCCUCGUGGAUAGUAAAACAUGACAACUGGUUAAGUACACCAGAAGGCUCAUGCCAUCUCCCCAGACAAUGUCCUCACCUCCUGUCCUGGAAUUCAAGUACAAUAAAAUAAGGCUUUGGAUCCGCA
This is a long non-coding RNA of Mesocricetus auratus (golden hamster), 1793 nucleotides long. RefSeq lists it as uncharacterized. NCBI's taxonomy places the organism in Eukaryota, Metazoa, Chordata, Mammalia, Rodentia, Cricetidae. The record is from RefSeq and is a predicted model, not a curated record. The transcript is spliced from 2 exons.